This is a long non-coding RNA of Tympanuchus pallidicinctus (lesser prairie-chicken), 714 nucleotides long. RefSeq lists it as uncharacterized. The record is from RefSeq and is a predicted model, not a curated record. NCBI's taxonomy places the organism in Eukaryota, Metazoa, Chordata, Aves, Galliformes, Phasianidae. The transcript is spliced from 3 exons.
AAUUUGGCUGGACUGCAAUCACACCCCAAGUCUGUCUUUCCUCAUUGUGCUCUCAAGGAUGAUUAUCUUCCAGAAACUUCAGCAGGACUGAGCGUAUACUCAAGGAUGAGCAUACAUUUAAGUGCUAUUCCAAAGAGUGACGCUGCCUUGAAUCAGGGCAAGAGUGUUCUGGGGAAGGAUGUCUGCUUCUGCUCUGCCACAUCCAUUUGAUCUGCAGUUUUCUUUGUCCCUUUAUUGUGGAAGACCUUCUUUUCAGCAACUACCCUCCAGUGGUAACUGCUCUAUGGCACACCUGAUGUGACAACUACAGGUCAUGGCAAGAUUUAUUGCCAGCUGAUGAUAGGAUGCUUCUUCCACAUACAAACAGCUUGGAGUAAAAUUCCUCAGCCCAGCACAAUGUCUCAGGAUGAAUUUUGUGGAAUCUUUCAGCUGAGAUGCAGUAGGGAUUGUGAGGAAAAUCUCCAUGUUGAGGGGACUAAUGCUGGAUCAGAACAAGUUGUGUCGUAAUACGCUUGGCGAUGCCUUGACAGUUUUGCAGGGCUAUUUAUAAGGUAUGUACAGACUUCAAAGACCAAACAUGGUCUGAGGGUGGGAAUUUGUAUGAUGUAUCAGAGGGUUUAGCUACAGAUAGGGAUUGUGGUUGCCUCUUGGUUGACCCCUUCCAUACAUUGAAGAUAAGGGAGAGGAUCCUACUUACACCACUACUCUUGGUCU